CAGAGCUUGACAGGAUCUGCAGAGAAGAAUGGGAGAAACUCUCCAAAUACAGCCCUGCACCUUUUCCCUAGUCAGGAUCAAGUCUGAGCGCAGAUAAAGACCCUGCACUUCACAAUGCUUCACCCACAGCUGUUCCGAAAGGACUCACUACACCAGCUUCAGGCACCACAUGGAACACAUGCAGACGAUCCCACAUGUGAAGAAGCUGGAUGUGGAGCUCCUGGGCUGGUUGGCGUGGUCUGCGGUUGUGAGGCUGGUUGGACGUAUUGCCAAAUUCUCUAAAACGACAUUGGAGGAGGUUUAUGGUAGAGAAAUUAACAUUAAAUUCUCUGGCAACAGCUCUGGUGGACUUUUCUGUGGUCAGUAUUGCCAAGUGCACAUCUGUAGCAUUAUGUGGUGUGACAAAACUGCACAUUUUUAGAGAGGCC
Molecule: long non-coding RNA, 428 nt
Organism: Oncorhynchus tshawytscha (Chinook salmon)
Lineage: Eukaryota; Metazoa; Chordata; Actinopteri; Salmoniformes; Salmonidae
Source: Ensembl